RNAcentral lists this ribosomal RNA (253 nucleotides) under uncultured bacterium. Its description in RNAcentral is "partial 16S ribosomal RNA". It matches the Rfam family "Bacterial small subunit ribosomal RNA", at positions 524 to 776 of the family's 1533-position model. The record is from RNAcentral.
UACGGAGGAUUCAAGCGUUAUCCGGAUUUAUUGGGUUUAAAGGGUGCGUAGGCGGUCGGAUAAGUUAGAGGUGAAAUCCCGGGGCUCAACUUCGGAAUUGCCUCUGAUACUGUUCGGCUAGAGAGUAGUUGCGGUAGGCGGAAUGUAUGGUGUAGCGGUGAAAUGCUUAGAGAUCAUACAGAACACCGAUUGCGAAGGCAGCUUACCAAGCUACUUCUGACGUUGAGGCACGAAAGCGUGGGGAGCGAACAGG